GAUGAACGCUGGCGGCGUGCCUAAUACAUGCAAGUCGAACGCUGAAGGAGGAGCUUGCUCUUCUGGAUGAGUUGCGAACGGGUGAGUAACGCGUAGGUAACCUGCCUGGUAGCGGGGGAUAACUAUUGGAAACGAUAGCUAAUACCGCAUGACAACAGUUAUUGCAUGAUAACUGUUUAAAAGGGGCAACUGCUCCACUACCAGAUGGACCUGCGUUGUAUUAGCUAGUUGGUGAGGUAACGGCUCACCAAGGCGACGAUACAUAGCCGACCUGAGAGGGUGAUCAGCCACACUGGGACUGAGACACGGCCCAGACUCCUACGGGAGGCAGCAGUAGGGAAUCUGCGGCAAUGGGCGGAAGUCUGACCGAGCAACGCCGCGUGAGGGAAGAAGGUUGUCGGAUCGGAGAGCUCGGUUGUAAGAGAAGAACGAGUGUGAGAGUGGAAAGUUCACACUGUGACGGUAACUGACCAGAAAGGGACGGCUAACUACGUG
RNAcentral lists this ribosomal RNA (495 nucleotides) under uncultured bacterium. RNAcentral's name for it is "partial 16S ribosomal RNA". It matches the Rfam family "Bacterial small subunit ribosomal RNA", at positions 28 to 507 of the family's 1533-position model. The record is from RNAcentral.